Molecule: ribosomal RNA, 447 nt
Filed under: uncultured bacterium
Lineage: Bacteria
Description: bacterial SSU rRNA
Rfam family: Bacterial small subunit ribosomal RNA
Source: RNAcentral
GAACGCGCAGCAUUCUGUAGCAAUACAGGGUGUGGGCGCGUGGCGAACGGGUGCGUAACACGUGGAUAACCUUCCUUCAGGUGGGGAAUAACCCCGCGAAAGCGGGGCUAAUACCGCAUAACAUCGCGAUGGCACAUGCUGUUGCGUUCAAAGGCGCAAGUCGCCAGAAGAGGGAUCCGCGGCCGAUUAGCUUGUUGGCGGGGUAACGGCCCACCAAGGCUUUGAUCGGUAGCCGGACUGAGAGGUUGGCCGGCCACACUGGAACUGAGACACGGUCCAGACUCCUACGGGAGGCAGCAGUGGGGAAUCUUGCACAAUGGACGAAAGUCUGAUGCAGCAACGCCGCGUGGGGGAUGAAGCUUCUCGGAGUGUAAACCCCUUUCGACCCGGACGAAUGCCCGCAAGGGCUUGACGGUACGGGUAUAAGAAGCCCCGGCUAACUACGUG